Molecule: ribosomal RNA, 302 nt
Filed under: uncultured bacterium
Lineage: Bacteria
Description: partial 16S ribosomal RNA
Rfam family: Bacterial small subunit ribosomal RNA
Source: RNAcentral
GCAGCCGCCGCGGUAAUACAGAGGGUGCAAGCGUUAAUCGGAAUUACUGGGCGUAAAGCGCGCGUAGGUGGUUUGUUAAGUUGGAUGUGAAAUCCCCGGGCUCAACCUGGGAACUGCAUCCAAAACUGGCAAGCUAGAGUAUGGUAGAGGGUGGUGGAAUUUCCUGUGUAGCGGUGAAAUGCGUAGAUAUAGGAAGGAACACCAGUGGCGAAGGCGACCACCUGGACUGAUACUGACACUGAGGUGCGAAAGCGUGGGGAGCAAACAGGAUUAGAUACCCGUGUAGUCCCUGUCUCUUAUAC